RNAcentral lists this ribosomal RNA (468 nucleotides) under uncultured bacterium. RNAcentral's name for it is "partial 16S ribosomal RNA". It matches the Rfam family "Bacterial small subunit ribosomal RNA", at positions 28 to 507 of the family's 1533-position model. The record is from RNAcentral.
GACGAACGCUGGCGGCGUGCUUAGCACAUGCAAGUCGAACGGAAAGGCCCUGCUUUUGUGGGGUGCUCGAGUGGCGAACGGGUGAGUAACACGUGAGUAACCUGCCCUUGACUUUGGGAUAACUUCAGGAAACUGGGGCUAAUACCGGAUAGGAGCUCCUGCUGCAUGGUGGGGGUUGGAAAGUUUCGGCGGUUGGGGAUGGACUCGCGGCUUAUCAGCUUGUUGGUGGGGUAGUGGCUUACCAAGGCUUUGACGGGUAGCCGGCCUGAGAGGGUGACCGGCCACAUUGGGACUGAGAUACGGCCCAUACUCCUACGGGAGGCAGCAGUGGGGAAUAUUGCACAAUGGGCGGAAGCCUGAUGCAGCAACGCCGCGUGCGGGAUGACGGCCUUCGGGUUGUAAACCGCUUUCGCCUGUGACGAAGCGUGAGUGACGGUAAUGGGUAAAGAAGCACCGGCUAACUACGUG